RNAcentral lists this long non-coding RNA (1325 nucleotides) under Fukomys damarensis (Damara mole-rat). Its description in RNAcentral is "lncRNA (ENSFDAG00000025625.1)". Lineage: Eukaryota; Metazoa; Chordata; Mammalia; Rodentia; Bathyergidae. The record is from RNAcentral.
GCCAAGGGCUGGUGUGAAUAACGGGCUAUUGCUGUUUUUACUCUCUUGAAACUUCAGGAUUGCACCUAACAGCCCAGUUUGAAUGAAGCCCGUCCUGAGCCUAUAUUCUGUGAUGUCUUCUUAUUGAUGGACACAUUAAUUACCACACCUGCUAAAUUUUAGCGGGUUAGUCAGUCUUUGGCUGGCACUGUACAUCUAACCUUCCACCCAUUCAAGAAACUAGAGGAUUUUUCCACUAUCAGAGACAAAUGAAAUCCAGCUGCCUAUGACUUCAGUCUCAGGCCAGAUGUUUUCAUGUUCGGCCCAGCCUCAAGGUCAAGUCCAAAUUUCAUACCCAGCACUUCCCUGUCUUCCUGUGCUGAGGCUCCAGCCCAUCCAUAUCCCGAAGAAGCCUUCAUUUUGCCAGGGUAUUCCAGAAAUGGAGACACUCCAGGAUUGUGUAACGGCCCCGACACCGUAAACAAAACUAACGCUGAUAAUAACAUGGUCUUGACAGGGGCUCCGUCACUACCCAUCCCUCCAGCCCACAUCCUCCGGGCCUCUCCGUGUGUUUUUCCAAAUCGAGCUUCACCAAAGUGAGACCAGAUCUAACACAAGUCUGACUGAUAGAAUUCACGUGGGCCUGAGCCAACAAUUUUCCCACAGUUUGGUUGAGAAUCUGAGCCAACCAAUACUACAGGACAUGUCCUUUGAAUAGCACUAUUCCCCCAGACCCACAGUGCUCAGUGACGGACAACGAUGUGACAUGGCCCUCCUCCUCCUCUGUGACCAGUGCCCAGACUAGUGUCCUAUCUGGCCCCGAGUGCUGAGGUCUACGUUCAAGGGUUCCUUGUGGUCAUUAUUCUUUCAGAGAACCCAGCUAGGGGAAGACAAGCCUCAUAGGGACCCUGUCAGCUUGAGUUCAGAGCUUUGGAAUGAGAUCUUUGUCCCCGAGACUCUACGGAGAGGCGAGAGAAAGAAGUCCGCCCUAGAGCGUGCCAUGAUGCCUUUGGACAGAGCUGCUCUGAUGACUAGAAGGGUAUAUGUCGCAGAGAGUAAACUCAGUUCCACGGAUCUUAAGGUCUCUAAUUAGAUUCUGUUUCUCAGGACAAAGAGCUUUUGGGCUGCCCCAGAGAAUCUUCAGGCAGUCGAGAAACCAAAAGUAUAAAUAAGUUAAAGAGAAAAAUAAAAGAUAAAUAAUAGGGCACAGCAACAUAAAUCCUUUGCAAAUGGGAACGGGAUCUAGAGAUGGAGGGUGGAGAAGGGAGGUGAAAACAAUUAAGAAGUGUUGUGUACUUGUACCAACUCCCCACAAUAAUGUAAUCAUUGUCUACUGCAAACAUGCA